This 253-nucleotide ribosomal RNA is filed under the name uncultured bacterium. RNAcentral describes it as "partial 16S ribosomal RNA". It matches the Rfam family "Bacterial small subunit ribosomal RNA", at positions 524 to 776 of the family's 1533-position model. The record is from RNAcentral.
UACGUAGGGUGCAAGCGUUGUCCGGAAUUAUUGGGCGUAAAGAGCUCGUAGGCGGUUUGUUGCGUCGGCUGUGAAAACCUGAGGCUCAACCUCAGGCCUGCAGUCGAUACGAGCAAACUAGAGUGUUGCAGGGGAGACUGGAAUUCCUGGUGUAGCGGUGAAAUGCGCAGAUAUCAGGAGGAACACCGGUGGCGAAGGCGGGUCUCUGGGCAACAACUGACGCUGAGGCGCGAAAGCGUGGGGAGCGAACAGG